Molecule: ribosomal RNA, 99 nt
Filed under: Acer truncatum (Shantung maple)
Lineage: Eukaryota; Viridiplantae; Streptophyta; Magnoliopsida; Sapindales; Sapindaceae
Description: partial 5.8S ribosomal RNA
Rfam family: 5.8S ribosomal RNA
About the family: 5.8S ribosomal RNA (5.8S rRNA) is a component of the large subunit of the eukaryotic ribosome. It is transcribed by RNA polymerase I as part of the 45S precursor that also contains 18S and 28S rRNA.
Source: RNAcentral
CUUGGUGUGAAUUGCAGAAUCCCGUGAACCAUCGAGUCUUUGAACGCAAGUUGCGCCCCAAGCCGUUAGGCUGAGGGCACGCCUGCCUGGGUGUCACGC